GAUGAUUUGACCAGCUUGCGGGUGCGCGUCGGGCCGGACCUUCACCAGAAGUUUGAGGCGAUGAUCUCGGCGCGGGGCAUCACGGUGCAGCGGGCCCUUGAAACGCUGCUGGCCUGGGUGGUCGACGAAGACCCACUGACUCAGGCCAUGAUCUUCCAGCAGGUGCCGGCGUCGGACCGGGCGGCUCUCUCCCGGAUCGUACUGCGGCGUCUGGCCGGCGUCGACGCCAAGGCCCCG
Molecule: ribosomal RNA, 237 nt
Filed under: uncultured bacterium
Lineage: Bacteria
Description: partial 16S ribosomal RNA
Source: RNAcentral